AGGAUCCGAGCGUUAUCCGGAAUUAUUGGGUUUAAAGGGUUCGUAGGCGGCCUUAUAAGUCAGGGGUGAAAUCUCUCAGCUCAACUGAGAACUUGCCUUUGAUACUGUAUGGCUUGAAUAGUAGUGAAGUAACUAGAAUAUGUAGUGUAGCGGUGAAAUGCAUAGAUAUUACAUGGAAUACCAAUUGCGAAGGCAGGUUACUAAUUAUUUAUUGACGCUGAUGAACGAAAGCGUGGGUAGCGA
RNAcentral lists this ribosomal RNA (243 nucleotides) under uncultured bacterium. RNAcentral's name for it is "partial 16S ribosomal RNA". It matches the Rfam family "Bacterial small subunit ribosomal RNA", at positions 529 to 771 of the family's 1533-position model. The record is from RNAcentral.